UCUGCCCUCCGCGCACCCUGCCCUGCCCGCCCCGCCGCCUUCUUAAGGUGCCCGGCCCCGAGCCCCCCUGUGCACCCUGCAGCCGCGAGGAAAGCCAGGCCCCCUCGACUUUGCUCCUCUUUCCCAUUCUGCAGAUGCUGGCAGGAGGCACGAGGUUCCCGGGUCAGAGUUUACUCACAGAAGAACCAGUAGCCAGAGCUCCAUGUUGGCAUUGGUUCCCCCAGUCCCUGGCUGUGAGGCAGACGGGCCUGGAUGCGGGCAUGCACAUGUGGGGCACGUGUCCCAGGAGGGCACGCUGAGCUGGGGGUCUCGCUGCUUUCACACCAAGUGCUGAUGAACUCAUCGUUUGUGCUCCUUUCUCAAGGUUGCUCCCUGCACCAGCCCCGAGCCUGGAUAAAGCAUGGCAAGGGGCUGGCAUUCUUGGCAUGCCUGGCAGUAACAUUCAGGACACUCGGGGCCGUGGGGGUUUCCUGCUGCCCUCACCUGUGGACCAGCUCUGGCCUGGGCAGACAGCAAACUUCUCCAACAUGGUAUGAACCCCAGGCUUGGGGAGGGUGCCCCUUCUAAGACUGCUCUUCCUUGGUUUUCCUCCUGCAACCAUAGGCUGCCCUUUGGAUUUCUCUGUGUAAUUACUGUCCUGUCCCAGUUUCAUGAUUCUCUAUGUUAAACUUGCCCUGUUUAAAUUACCAUGUGGUUUCUGUCUCUUGCUGGACCCAGACUGAUACAUUAGUCAGCAAGAAAAAUAAAAGGAUUUAUUAUUAUUUUUUUUUGUUACUCGUUUGUUAGUCUAAAAUGAUUUCAAAAGAAAAAUAUUAAAAAUAUACUAUGUGGAAAAUGUAAACAGCAGAAGGGCAAAAUGGAGGAAAACAAUAGUGCUGAUGUCUGAAAUCAGUAGUUAGUUUUGAAUAUAUAAAAUCCUCGAACUGA
This is a long non-coding RNA of Pipistrellus kuhlii (Kuhl's pipistrelle), 927 nucleotides long. RefSeq lists it as uncharacterized. Lineage: Eukaryota; Metazoa; Chordata; Mammalia; Chiroptera; Vespertilionidae. The record is from RefSeq and is a predicted model, not a curated record. The transcript is spliced from 2 exons.